UGCAUUAAACAGAUUAUCGGUUUUAUUUUUUUUCCUCGGCCAAAUCGCAUUCAUCGGACAUUUUUCUAUUCGAUCCAAUUUCUUUCCAAACUGGAUCAAUUUUCCUCGGCCAAAUCGCGUUCUCGUCGUGAUCUCCGGCGAUAUCUCCGGCGCGAGGUCCAUAUCCUCCGGGUGAAGACGCAUAUGACGCCGGUGGUUCUCUUCUACCAUAUCCCCGACCAAUUCCUCGAUAAAGGAGAUGAUCAGUGAGGUUUUGCAUCACAUCGUCCAUCUCAUCUGGCAUUCACAAGCUCUUCAGUCAACAAGACAGGGUCUUCUGCGGAUAUGCAGAAAGCCUUGGUGAAGAACCGAAUGCAUUUGGUCCAAGUCUCCGUGAAGCUUCGCCUGCAGACAAAAAAGAGAGAAGAACAUGGAGCCCAGGGGAUGAUGUCUUGCUUAUAAGCUCGUGGUUAAACACGAGCAAAGAUCCCAUCGUAGGAAAUGAGCAGAGAUGUGGGGCUUUCUGGAAACGCAUAUCUGUGUAUUUUGCCAAUAAUGCUGAAGGCCGUGAACCUGCAUCGGCGGUGCAGUGCAAGCAAAGAUGGCAGAAGAUAAACGACUUGGUGUGCAAGUUUUGCGGGUGUUUGAGGCUGCAACAAGAGAGAGAUCAUCUGGUCAGAACGAGAAUGACAUUCUCAAAAUGGUGCAUCAGAUCUUCUACACUUCUCACAAGAAGAAAUUUACUUUAGAACACACGUGGAAGGAGCUCAGAAAUGAUCAAAAAUGGUGUGAUCUUUCUACUAACAAAGAUGGGAGCUCCAAACGAAGAAGGUUAGAAGAUGGUCCAAACGAUGAUGACAUUGCAGCUGAGGGAAAUACCUGCAAAGACAAUGGAAACAGCAGACCUAUAGGAGUCAAAGCUUCAAAAGCAAAGGGAAAGAAGAGCAUUGAAGUGAUGAAGGUUCCAAUGGCUGAGUUCCAAACAAUGUGGGCAAUAAAAGAGAAGGACAAUGCUCAUCAAUAAAAGAUGACUAAGCUGUCACUACUUCAAUGUCUCCUUGGGAAAAAAGAAACCCUUACUGAGUAUGAAGAAGAUAUGAAGAAGAAGCUGAUAAGCGAACUGAUUUGAACUUCUGUUUGAUGUGAACUUGUUGUUAUUUUAAGUUAGUAUUUCUAUUUCUGUUUAAGCAUGAUCGGUUAUGUCUUUUGUGUUGCUCGUUGUGAACUUCUUGUUGUUUAAGUUAGUAUUUGUUGUAAGACCUUUAACAAGUUUAAGCAUGAUAGGUUAUGUCUUUGGUGUUUGGUUACAAGUAUAUGUAUUUGCAAGUUAAGUGUUUUUUUUUAAAUAUGAAAGAAACUUGUUAUUGUUGUUAUGUUUUUUUAUAAUGCUCGGUUGUGGUUAUGAUUUCUUAACGUGUUAAUGUU
Long non-coding RNA from Eutrema salsugineum, 1404 nucleotides. RefSeq lists it as uncharacterized. The transcript has 3 exons. The record is from RefSeq and is a predicted model, not a curated record. NCBI's taxonomy places the organism in Eukaryota, Viridiplantae, Streptophyta, Magnoliopsida, Brassicales, Brassicaceae.